RNAcentral lists this ribosomal RNA (253 nucleotides) under uncultured bacterium. RNAcentral describes it as "partial 16S ribosomal RNA". It matches the Rfam family "Bacterial small subunit ribosomal RNA", at positions 524 to 776 of the family's 1533-position model. The record is from RNAcentral.
UACGGAGGAGGCAAGCGUUAUCCGGACUUAUUGGGCGUAAAGCGUCCGCAGGUGGCGAUUCAAGUCUGCGGUCAAAGACUGGGGCUUAACCCUGGAAAGGCCGUGGAAACUGAAAAGCUAGAGUGCAGUAGGGGUAGAGGGAAUUCCCGGUGUAGCGGUGAAAUGCGUAGAGCUCGGGAAGAACAUCGGUGGCGAAAGCGCUCUGCUGGACUGCAACUGACACUCAGGGACGAAAGCUAGGGGAGCGAAUGGG